AUGGCAGCGGCCGGAGCCAGUUGAGCAGCAGCGGGGGCAAAGUUGGGCCUGCAUGAGAUUCACAUCCACUUAUGCCAGUGCUCGCCCUGCAGCCAGGGCGUCAGGGACUUCAUUGAGAAACACUAUGUGGAACUGAAGAAGGCGAAUCCCGAUCUGCCCAUUCUAAUCCGGGAAUGCUCUGAUUUGCAGUCCAAGCUCUGGGCCCGCUACUCAUUUUUGCAAGAGAAGAAUGUCUCUUUGAACACCUUCAAUGCUGACCAGGUAACCAGAACCCUGGAGAAUGUGCUAAGUGGCAAAGCUUGAAGUCUCCACAGAAGUGUAUGAGCGAGAGACCCAGAGUCUGAGCUCUGUUGGACUGAAUACAAUAUGGAAAAAUGUGUUCCCCUGUUCCUUAUAAAGCUUGUGCUA
Molecule: non-coding RNA, 408 nt
Organism: Marmota flaviventris (yellow-bellied marmot)
Lineage: Eukaryota; Metazoa; Chordata; Mammalia; Rodentia; Sciuridae
Source: RefSeq, a predicted model, not a curated record